This 468-nucleotide ribosomal RNA is filed under the name uncultured bacterium. Its description in RNAcentral is "partial 16S ribosomal RNA". It matches the Rfam family "Bacterial small subunit ribosomal RNA", at positions 28 to 507 of the family's 1533-position model. The record is from RNAcentral.
GACGAACGCUGGCGGCGUGCUUAACACAUGCAAGUCGAACGGAAAGGCCCUGCUUUUGUGGGGUGCUCGAGUGGCGAACGGGUGAGUAACACGUGAGUAACCUGCCCUUGACUUUGGGAUAACUUCAGGAAACUGGGGCUAAUACCGGAUAGGAGCUCCUGCUGCAUGGUGGGGGUUGGAAAGUUUCGGCGGUUGGGGAUGGUCUCGCGGCUUAUCAGCUUGUUGGUGGGGUAGUGGCUUACCAAGGCUUUGACGGGUAGCCGGCCUGAGAGGGUGACCGGCCACAUGGGGACUGAGAUACGGCGCAGACGCCUACGGGAGGCAGCAGGGGGGAAUAUUGCACAGUGGGCGGAAGCCUGAUACAGCAACGCCGCGUGCGGGAUGACGGCCUACGGGUUGUAAACCGCUUUCGCAUGUGACGAAGCGUGAGUGACGGUAAUGGGUAAAGAAGCACCGGCUAACUACGUG